AUACGUAGGUCCCGAACGUUGCGCGAAAUUACUGGGCGUAAAGGGUCCGUAGGCGGUCUGGUAAGUGGAAGGUGAAAGCCUGGGGCUCAACUCCAGAAUUGCCUUCCAAACUGCCGGACUUGAGGCAGGGAGAGGUCGGCGGAAUUCCCGGUGUAGUGGUGAAAUGCGUAGAUAUCGGGAGGAACACCAGUGGCGAAGGCGGCCGACUGGAACUGUCCUGACGCUGAGGGACGAAAGCCGGGGGAGCGAACCGGAUUAGAAACCCUAGUAGUCC
This 274-nucleotide ribosomal RNA is filed under the name uncultured bacterium. RNAcentral's name for it is "partial 16S ribosomal RNA". It matches the Rfam family "Bacterial small subunit ribosomal RNA", at positions 523 to 796 of the family's 1533-position model. The record is from RNAcentral.